RNAcentral lists this long non-coding RNA (6843 nucleotides) under Vitis vinifera (wine grape). RNAcentral's name for it is "long non-coding RNA (VVIN_LNC003969)". The record is from RNAcentral. Lineage: Eukaryota; Viridiplantae; Streptophyta; Magnoliopsida; Vitales; Vitaceae.
UUUUUUCCCCCCCCCCCCCCCCCCCCCCCCCCUUGUGUUUACAAACUGUUGAAUCUUUAAGGUGUACUUGGGAUCUGUUCAUUAAAAUUUUCUCUUCUUUGUGGUUUUGCCAUCAUUUUUUAAUUUUUUUUUUAUUGGAUGCUAUAUAUGUAUUUGUUUGUAUUGAAUUCGAUAAGAAACCCACCUCUCCCCUAAAAUAUGAAUAUUAAUUGUUUAAUAGCAUGAUAUACAUUGUGGACCCUCAAAUUAUAACAUUGGCUCGGGUUCUAACCCAAAACAGGGUCUUUGUGAUUUGUUUGCCUACAAACAUGUAUGUCUCUCCACAUGUAAUUGAUAAUACUCGCCCACUAGCUUUUUUUCUCUUGGAUUCUUGCCUUGUAGCUCUGUUGGUAUCAUUAUAGUUUGUGUGGAUAUCGUUCAUUUUGGGUUAUAAUGCCUCAAUUGUUUUAAACAAGCUCAACCAAGGCGAUGUGGGAUAAGACAUUAAAAUCACUCCCUAAUUGGCCCCAAAAGUAGUUCAAGCAUUAUCCAUCUCAGAUGCUCUAAGCUGCAUAUACACAAACCCCAACAAUGUGAUGUGGGAUAUCACAUCAAAAACAGUUCAACAAGUUGGAAUGAAUUGAAAUUGUUUGAUUCCUUGAAAUCAAGGGUUUUGAAACCUGUGUUACUGUACAUCUCAGACAAGAGAAAACAUGAUCAUGAACCCAGUCUAGCCUGAAAAAGGUAUUGUAUACCCAUUCUUCAUCUCAUGCCUUGGCAAUAAAAAAUGCAAAAUCAAGAGUAGUUACAUCUAUGAUUUGAUCAAAAUUUCUGUUUGGGAAUCAUAUUUUAAAAAUGUUCUUAUUAAAGAUAAGAAUAAUUUUAAUUUAAUAAAGGUCUGCCUGUGGUAUCAUGUUUGCAAGGAAAAAUAACAUCUGAAAAACAGUUAACAAAAAAAUAGUUUCUGCGACAAUUCUUGAAACUCACUUGUUUUUAAGAAUAAAAUGUCGUAUGCAAACUUAAAUAUGAAAAAUAGUUUCCUCGACUUAUUCUCCAUGCAAAGAAUCGUACGCUUAUAUUGAUAUUAAAGCUUUCAAAGCAUCCUCUAUAUUUUUAAUUGUUUCUCAAAAUACCGUACAAAUUGAAAACACCUCAAAUUUGUUCUCAGAUACAACAUAUUUUCAAAACAAAUGUUUCAAAAAAUUGUUUUUUGUUUGAAGUUUGCCAAAUGUAUUUUUUGACUUAAACAGAUUCCAAACAGGACCAUAGCCGCUCUAUUUCUCCAAAACACAAAUAAAUCAUGUUAGGAAGUACCGGUUAUGUUUCAACUUUCGAACAUCGGUUUUAGCGUAUAUCCCUAUCAAGGUGAUGGUAUCAUAUCUUCGCUUCACAUUUUACUAGUUUCUCAAUAAAAUUGACACUAGAACAUGAAAAGCUUCACAAAAGUUUUGAUACCAUCAAGAGCAAAUAUUAUGAAAAUUUUCCAAUCCAGGCUUUGAACAUCAUAUCAUAUGAAGUUUCAUAAGAGCCCUAGACAUGAAUUCAGAAACUUGCCCAGGGAAGUCCAUGGUAAAACCUAAUUCAGCAAUUAAAUAGGGAUGUGUUUGCAGUGUAAUCUCAUUGCUAUAUUAUGUACAAAUAAAAAAACAUUUGGUCAAGUUUCCUGAUAUGAUUAUGACAUGUACAAGAAGACCUUUACAAUAAAAUCUAGGUAUGCACUGAUUUAUUUUCAACUAAAUUAGGGUUUAGGAGUCAUACUUCAAUUUUAUGUUUGUAUACCAUCCUUGAAAGGACCGGAUUCGUGUAAUAGUUUCAUAACAAGCUUAACCUGCAAAUGGAAAUUAAUGAAAUGAAUCAGAUAAAAUUGCUCGAAGUCUAUAAAAAAUUUGCUCUUAAAAGAGAAAAACGUGUGGAAAGAUUAUAAAAAUCAUCCUUGUACUUUCCCAUAUGUCUCAUUUGACCUUGAAACUUUUUUUGUUUUUAAAGGAAUAUCAACCUUAAAUCAUGACAAAAGGUCAAAUAGAUCUUUCUAUUAAGGUUUUUCAUGAAAAAAAUUGACGGCAAAACUCACGUGAGAAGCACAUGGGUAAAUUGAACAUAUAUCCAAACAUAUCAUAUAAAAACUUAUGUUAAUGUAUAAAUGAUUGCCAUGCAAAUUUUUCAUCAUAAGAUUGACAUUGCUUCGGAAAGAAAAAAAAAAGUAUAGAUGCUAAAUUGGGACAUGGGCGGAAGUGUGUUUUUUUGUUAUUUACCGAAAAACUAUAGAUAAUACGAGAGAACAAUAUUUUUUCUUUCCUAACGUUCCGGUUGCCAGAAAUGAAAAACCAAACAUCAAAAAAGAUCAUUCACUAAGGCGGGUGGGAGAAGGGGGCACGGUUCAAGGGAGGUAGGUGUCAUAGCAAGGGUUUUGCAAAACCUAAGUGUAAUGUUUUUUUUUUUUUUUUUUUAAAUAGGCAAAUGUCGAAUAUACAAUAAAGGAUUCUAAGCAAAAGGUGCAGAAGAAAGAACCAACCAAGGCGUGAUGAUUCAACUUUUGUAAAUAGUUCAUUUGACAAGAUUUAGUGGAUUAGAGAACUGAGAUAUAUAUGACUUUCUCAUCCUAUCUAUAGUAUUACUUUGCUAAGAGUUACGCCAUCAUUUUCAUGAAACUUAAAAGGAAAAUGUUUCAUAUACAAGCAUACAACUUACAAUACUAGUAGAUUACUAAGAAGAAAAGAAAAAAGAAUAAACAAAAUGAAAGAUAAGAAACAAAUGAAGGGUAGAAACUUUACAAGUUUGCAUGGUAAAUCAUAUAUGUAAACAUCAAACUGGAAAAUUAAAAAGAAAUAAAAAGAUGAUCUUUCAUUGCCUUAAAACAAUGUUGGGUCCAUUUGGUAACAUUUUCAAAAGCAAUUCUCAAAAAUAAAUUUUGAAAAUAAUUUUCCUGGGUUAUUCUCCAUGAAGGCACUGUGUGCCUAUGUACAAUGCAAAAGUUUUCGACCAAUUCUCCAUGUUUCCAAUUGUUUCUCAGAACACCUUACAAAAAACAUUUGAAAAUCCUCAAAUUUGAGUUUCAAAAAAUCACCUUGUUUUCAGAAAAUUAUAAAGGAUCUGCUUUUAAUCAAAAAUUUGUCAAACAUGUUUUUAAGUUAAAGAACUGUUUCCUGUUCUAAUGAUCAAAAAACUGUUUUCAAGAACAGUUUCUAAACCAAAUGAAAGAUAGACAACAAAUAAAAGGUAGAAACUCUAUUAGUUCGCAUGAUAAUUGUAUAUGCAAACAUCAAAUUGGAAAAUUUAAAAGGAACAGAGAAAGAAAAAUUAUCCUCAAUGCCUCAAAACAAUGUAGUUUUUUUGUUAAUAAACAAUGAAUCAUUCUUCUACACAGGAUUUCAACCUAAUAACAAAAAAUAACUGUACAUACCUGAGCCGUUUCACGCACUAAAAAUUCGUUUAUGGCUUUCUCAAAACCCUUGUCCAGAAAGUAAUGGCAGCUGUAAGUUGUCACAGGCAUAUAGCCACGCUGAAUCUUAUGCUCACCUUGAGCUCCUGCCUCUACUUUGUUCAGAUUAAGUUCAAUAGCUGCUUCUAUUGCCUGUGAUAAUAUCACCACACAUAAAAUAAAGAAACAAAUUUAUAUCACUUUUCAAGCAGUUCACAUUCUCACUUCUUUAUGUCGUUAUACACUAAUGAAUUUUUACCAUAACAUGACUUUUUGACAAAUUUAUCGAGAAUUUCCAGUAAGUACUAAUUCUUAUUUGGUCACAUAGGAUCAAUGUCAACCCUAGUUUUCCUUACAAAGAAAAUAAAGUGACAUUUCCAGUUGGUUACUUAGAUUCCAAAACAUAGAUCAACAAGAGUACAAUCUUUUUUCUGAUAGGUAAACAGAGAUUGUAUUAAUUUUAAAAAGUAUACACAAUGUAUACAAAACAACCAAAAAACCAGAAGGUGUGAAUACACAAAAACAGGGAACCAUACCCUACGAAGAGCCUAACCAGUCCACAAAAUCUAUUAGUGACAUAGAACCAUCCCCAAUGUACAAUCUAACCCAAUCCCAAAAAAGACACAAAAAAUGAACUUUUAAUUGUUUGGUUCAAACUUUCACAAUUCUCAAAAGUUCUCCUAUUUCUCUCCUUCCAAAUGGACAAAAAAAAGGCAUAAAGGAGCAACUUUCCAGGCCUUUUUCCUUUUUUUGCCAACAAUCGCAUAACCAUUGCAAAAGUGAUAAUGGUCCCUUGAUUAGCUAAGACUGCAAUAUCCAUGCAUUUAGUUGGUAGUUCUAAAUCUUGAUUUUGAAAAUAAAUGGGGUAGCAUCUUUCCUAGAUUGUUCAACCGUAUAGAGAAUUGGAAUAUGAAAGAUUUUAUUCGUUCAUUUAAUCUUCUAUAUAUAAGUUACCAGCUAAUAUUUUCCUUCAAUGUUCUAUGUCGUUGGGGUUGUGGCACAGAUUAUUUUAGCUAGCCAAGAUGGAUUGGGUUCCUCGGAGAAGUAUUUCAGACAUGAUGUCCAUCAACUAUAAAGAUUUUGGCAAUUCCAAGAGAGGGGUGGUUUUGUGGCAGAAUACGUGCAUAGCAUUAAUUUGGGUUGUGUGGCGGGAAAGAAAUGCUAGGAUAUUUGAGGACAAAGCUAGGAAUUCGGAGAACCUUUAGGAUUCAAUUCAUUUCCUUGCUUCUCGUUGGGCUUUUUGUUCCGUGGUUUUUUUUCCCUUAUCGUGUUACAACUAGAUUGGCUAGCAAUGUGUAGUUCCAAUGGGACGGCCUAGUCAAGGGAGAUUGUUAGUAGUUCUUAGUGUAGUGCCUUGUUAUCUUUUUGUGUUGUUGAGUUUCAUCUCUAGUGGGAGGAUUCCUCAUCCUUCUAUUGUACUUUUUUUUCUAUCAAUAUAUACAUGUGUUGUUUCCUAUCAAAAAAAAAAAAGUUACCAGCUAAUAUUUCUCAUUUUAAAUGGUCCUGGUGGACCAUAGAGUUCAGCUUUACUGAUGAGAACAAAGUCAGAUCCAAACCUGGUAAUAGCAUGCUUCAAAAUGCAAGCUAGGAUAAUAAGCUCGUGGGAGACAUCCCCAUAAGCGGCCGAAUAAAGUAUCUCCUCCAAUAAGAUUGAGAGCUCCUGCAACAAGUUCAUCCCCUUCUUCAGCAACAACAAGUAGUACUUGAUCUUCCAUCUUUGAUCCCAUGUUGUGAAAGAAAUCUCUCGUUAGAUAAGGACUACCCCACCUAAGAUAAAUCAACAGCGUCUUUAGAAUGCGACAAGUUCAAGCAUUUCAAACGAUUCAACAUAUUUCAUGGAUAAAGAAAAUAAUAACAUGUUGAUUGAUAACAAUUUAAAAAUAUAAGAAUUUCAUUGUAAAGAGAUCAGAAACGGUCAAAUGAUAUUGACCAUACUUGUUAUCAGUGGUGUUCCUAUAGAACUUGUAAAAGGAAUCCCAGUGCUUAGCCUGCCAACAGAUAACCAUGAAAAGAUAACAGUAAGAGGACCAUCAACAUAGGGCAAAAGAAGCAAACCAAGUCACAAGUCUACUGAUGUGAUCUAUAAAGAUGAAUGAAAUAUUUAAUGUAAAUAUCUAAUAUAGAACAAUGAACAUUAGAAUCUACAGGAAUUAAUAAGCUAGAAAAACUUGGGAGGACCAAGUGCUUUUUACCUGUAGACGGAAGCUUUUGACAGGUCUUCUACAUUUUACAUUUUUUUUGGGUGGAGUGGAUCAAACUAAUUUUGCAGAAGAUAUGUAUAACUUUUUGUUUUUCAUUCAGUCUAAGAAGUUAUAUGAAUAUUCUGACUGUAAAUGAAUGAGUCAUUUAAUGUCUAAAAAUAAAACUUAAUUGAACUUUGGAUGGUUUUGUAGGAGUGCUGACCACUAAUGUUUCUAAAAUAAAAUCCCCAGAACUGGACCAAAAGAAAAACUCCAGAAAAUUUCCUAAUAGCCACAACUGAAAACCUAGAACAUUAUAUUGAAGAUUUUGACAAUAUGCUUUUUCAUGUAUAUCAUUAUAAAGCACUUAAUAGAUAAUCCCAACCAGCCUACAAAAAAUUUUACCAUCACCCCUUCUCAGCUGCAUCUCCACCAAUUGAAUUCAUGGCAAGAAAGUUUGCUGGUACUUAGUUCACAUAUAAUUUAGAUUCUAGUUGUUCUUGGUAGAUCUACCAUUUUAGGAUUUGGGCCCAUAAUAUAUAUCAUGGGCCCACACUUGUCAUGAGAGGCACAAUGACAAAAAUUGGAUAGAUAAAUAAUGGGAGGAGGACAAUAGUCAAUGACCUUGGGUUAACCAUAGCAUUGAUACCAAAUUAGACAAUUAGUUUCCCUAAAAGCUUAAGCUUUUAGGAUUGAGAUCCACAAUGUAUAUCAUGCUCCAACAAUUUUUACCAGUCUCCUGCAUAUAAUGUUACUUUUGGCAAAAAAGCUUUUCUAUGAAAAAAUAUUGAGUUUUCUCCUGUCAACCUCGCAAUUAAAAUGUACUUUUUCCCCUUUUUUUCCCAGUAUAGCUGUGCAUUCACCAUGUAGUGAUGAACCAACAAAGUAAUGCCUAAAGGAAUUUUUUGGCCUCUAUUUGUUUAUUCUUUUUGCAUAUUGCCAUGUACUGGAGGAUGAGUCAUUUUAGAGCCCCCAAUAAAAAACUCCAACAACUACCAUAAACUUCUAAAAGGACAAAUGAUUUCUUACAUUAUGAGCCCUAUGUACAGUUGAACUUAUGGAUGUAACAGCUUAACUAGAUUAUAAAACAGGCCAAAGAGUGAAAACAUGAUCACACACAUUCAAAACAGUAAGUGAAAAUGGUAAAAGAAAAAUGAAUAUAUGACAAACCCAAAAUUACCUCUAAUAUUCCUAGUUUCAGAUAUUAAUAUCAAGUACCUUUAUUUCAUAUCCCCGGAGCCGUUUCAUUGUUAAGUUUUGUGUAGA